RNAcentral lists this ribosomal RNA (499 nucleotides) under uncultured bacterium. Its description in RNAcentral is "partial 16S ribosomal RNA". It matches the Rfam family "Bacterial small subunit ribosomal RNA", at positions 30 to 523 of the family's 1533-position model. The record is from RNAcentral.
AUUGAACGCUGGCGGCAGGCCUAACACAUGCAAGUCGAGCGGAUGAAGAGAGCUUGCUCUCUGAUUCGGCGGCGGACGGGUGAGUAAUGCCUAGGAAUCUGCCUGGUAGUGGGGGACAACGUUUCGAAAGAACGCUAAUACCGAAUACGUCCUACGGGAGAAAGUGGGGGAUCUUCGGACCUCACGCUAUCAGAUGAGCCUAGGUACGAGUAGCUAGUUGGUGAGGUAAAGGCUCACCAAGGCGACGAUCGUUAACUGGUCUGAGAGGAUGAUCAGUCACACUGGAACUGAGACACGGUCCAGACUCCUACGGGAGGCAGCAGUGGGGAAUAUUGGACAAUGGGCGAAAGCCUGAUCCAGCCAUGCCGCGUGUGUGAAGAAGGUCUUCGGAUUGUAAAGCACUUUAAGUUGGGAGGAAGGGCAGUAAGUUAAUACCUUGCUGUUUUGACGUUACCGACAGAAUAAGCACCGGCUAACUUCGUGCCAGCAGCCGCCGCUG